RNAcentral lists this ribosomal RNA (666 nucleotides) under uncultured Verrucomicrobiota bacterium. Its description in RNAcentral is "bacterial SSU rRNA". It matches the Rfam family "Bacterial small subunit ribosomal RNA", at positions 37 to 680 of the family's 1533-position model. Lineage: Bacteria; Pseudomonadati; Verrucomicrobiota. The record is from RNAcentral.
UGGGCGGCGUGGUUAAGACAUGCAAGUCGAACGAGACUUUUCGUUGUAGCAAUACGAUGGAAAGUUUAGUGGCGAACGGGUGCUUAACACGUGGGCAACCUGCCAGGAAGUGGGGGAUAGCUCGCCGAAAGGCGAAUUAAUACCGCAUGUGACUAGAGAGGACAUCCUUUCGAAAUUAAAGUCGGGGCAACCUGACGCUUCUUGUGGGGCCCGCGGCCUAUCAGCUAGUUGGUGAGGUAACGGCCCACCAAGGCUUUGACGGGUAGCUGGUCUGAGAGGACGACCAGCCACACUGGGACUGAGACACGGCCCAGACACCUACGGGUGGCAGCAGUCGAGAAUUUUUGACAAUGGGGGAAACCCUGAUCGAGCGACGCCGCGUGGAGGAUGAAGGUCUUCGGAUUGUAAACUCCUGUCAUUGGGGAACAAUGCACAGAUAUUAACUGUAUUUGUGUUGAUAGUACCCGAAGAGGAAGAGACGGCUAACUCUGUGCCAACAGCCGCGGUAAUACAGAGGUCUCAAGCGUUGUUCGGAUUCAUUGGGCGUAAAGGGUGCGUAGGCGGCGCGGUAAGUCGGGUGUGAAAUCUCGGGGCUUAACUCCGAAACUGCAUUCGAUACUGCCGUGCUUGAGGACUGGAGAGGAGACUGGAAUUCUCGGUGUAGCA